RNAcentral lists this ribosomal RNA (440 nucleotides) under uncultured bacterium. RNAcentral's name for it is "partial 16S ribosomal RNA". It matches the Rfam family "Bacterial small subunit ribosomal RNA", at positions 338 to 795 of the family's 1533-position model. The record is from RNAcentral.
CCUACGGGAGGCAGCAGUAGGGAAUAUUGCUCAAUGGAGGAAACCCUGAAGCAGCAACGCCGCGUGGAGGAUGACGGUUUUCGGAUUGUAAACUCCUUUUUUUAGAGAAGAUAAUGACGGUAUCUAAGGAAUAAGCACUGGCUAAAUCCGUGCCAGCAGCCGCGGUAAUACGGAGGGUGCAAGCGUUACACGGAAUCACUGAGCGUAAAGCGCGCGUAGGCGGGAUAGCAAGUCAGAUGUGAAAUUGUGUGGCUUAAUCAUAGAACUGCAGUUGAAACCGUUAUUCUAGAGUAUGGGAGAGGUAGGUGGAAUUCUUGGUGUAGGGGUAAAAUCCGUAGAGAUCAAGAAGAAUACUGAUUGCGAAGGCGACCUGCUAGAACAUAACUGACGCUGAUGCUCGAAAGUGUGGGGAGCAAACAGGAUUAGAUACCCCAGUAGUC